Molecule: transfer RNA, 73 nt
Filed under: Stegodyphus mimosarum
Lineage: Eukaryota; Metazoa; Arthropoda; Arachnida; Araneae; Eresidae
Rfam family: tRNA
About the family: Transfer RNA (tRNA) molecules are approximately 80 nucleotides in length. Their secondary structure includes four short double-helical elements and three loops (D, anti-codon, and T loops).
Source: Rfam by way of RNAcentral
GCCUUCGUGGUGUAGUGGUCAGCACGCUGGGCGCGUAUUCCAGAGGUCCGUGGUUCGAGUCUCGCGAAAGGCG